RNAcentral lists this unclassified non-coding RNA (354 nucleotides) under Hevea brasiliensis (rubber tree). The record is from RNAcentral. Lineage: Eukaryota; Viridiplantae; Streptophyta; Magnoliopsida; Malpighiales; Euphorbiaceae.
CAGAACUGAUGAAGCCAUAUAGUAAUACUGUCAAUUUCACAUUAUCAGAUUAAUGGAUAUUAUAGAUAUAACGAGUAGCUAGCUGAUAUGAGUGUGAUUCUGUUUGAUAUGGAUCAUAGUCUGUUUGUUGGGAGAUUAUUUAGUGCACAUGCACCCUUACUCACAUUCAUGUGGGGUUCGCUUUACUUAAAUUAAGGAAGACUCACAUUUUUGUGAGUAAGGGAGCAUUACACCCGGUGUAUACAAUUGCCUUAUUUGUGUAGUGAUUACCAAAAAUGUUUUCCUAUAAUAUAGUGGCCUAUAAGUUUGUGUACUUUUAGUUCAUCAUAUACAAAAUUAAUUAAUUAAUUAAUU